ACAACGAAGAGUUUGAUCCUGGCUCAGGAUGAACGCUAGCGACAGGCUUAACACAUGCAAGUCGAGGGGCAGCGGGGGUAGCAAUACCCGCCGGCGACCGGCGCACGGGUGAGUAACGCGUAUGCAACUUACCUAUCAGAGGGGGAUAACCCGGCGAAAGUCGGACUAAUACCGCAUGAAGCAGGGGCCCCGCAUGGGGAUAUUUGCUAAAGAUUCAUCGCUGAUAGAUAGGCAUGCGUUCCAUUAGGCAGUUGGCGGGGUAACGGCCCACCAAACCGACGAUGGAUAGGGGUUCUGAGAGGAAGGUCCCCCACAUUGGUACUGAGACACGGACCAAACUCCUACGGGAGGCAGCAGUGAGGAAUAUUGGUCAAUGGCCGAGAGGCUGAACCAGCCAAGUCGCGUGAGGGAUGAAGGUUCUAUGGAUCGUAAACCUCUUUUAUAAGGGAAUAAAGUGCGGGACGUGUCCCGUUUUGUAUGUACCUUAUGAAUAAGGAUCGGCUAACUCCGUGCCAGCAGCCGCGGUAAUACGGAGGAUCCGAGCGUUAUCCGGAUUUAUUGGGUUUAAAGGGUGCGUAGGCGGCCUUUUAAGUCAGCGGUGAAAGUCUGUGGCUCAACCAUAGAAUUGCCGUUGAAACUGGGGGGCUUGAGUAUGUUUGAGGCAGGCGGAAUGCGUGGUGUAGCGGUGAAAUGCAUAGAUAUCACGCAGAACCCCGAUUGCGAAGGCAGCCUGCCAAGCCAUGACUGACGCUGAUGCACGAAAGCGUGGGGAUCAAACAGGAUUAGAUACCCUGGUAGUCCACACAGUAAACGAUGAAUACUCGCUGUUUGCGAUAUACAGUAAGCGGCCAAGCGAAAGCAUUAAGUAUU
RNAcentral lists this ribosomal RNA (870 nucleotides) under Bacteroides sp. Its description in RNAcentral is "bacterial SSU rRNA". It matches the Rfam family "Bacterial small subunit ribosomal RNA", at positions 1 to 868 of the family's 1533-position model. The record is from RNAcentral. Lineage: Bacteria; Pseudomonadati; Bacteroidota; Bacteroidia; Bacteroidales; Bacteroidaceae.